Molecule: long non-coding RNA, 1053 nt
Filed under: Salvia miltiorrhiza (redroot sage)
Lineage: Eukaryota; Viridiplantae; Streptophyta; Magnoliopsida; Lamiales; Lamiaceae
Description: long non-coding RNA (SMIL_LNC010536)
Source: RNAcentral
GGGCGCAGAAUAUUAAGAUUUAGCAGCUUUGUAGAAUCGUUAGUUCAUGCGAUAUUUUAAGGCCUAUUAAGAUUAGAUUAUCUUGUAGGUCCACUUGAUAGAAGGCUUUAGCAUUGGCUUUACAAGGCAAGAGAAUUUGUGCAUCUUUUAAUCUACAGGCUUGUCCUAUCGAGGUGGGUUUUUAUUUUCCAAUGUAUGUUUUGAGUUAUUGAGCUCUAAAUUGUUUUAAUGCUAUUGUAAAUGAAUGUCCAUGUUAAAAUGUUUUUAUCUCUCUAUUGUUUAAAGUGCUCCUAUGUUCUCUAACGAUCGGGUCCUAGCCGGCGUAGCGAUUAGAUCGCCUUGGACAGGAUGUGUACACACAAAGGGGUAUUGUGGGCUGCUCCCACUUGCCUCAGACUGUCAGACUUGGGCUGCUCCCAUUUCUGAAACAUGCAUGGUAGUGCACCUCUAUAGGCUGCUCCCACAUGUUCACAUUAUAGGUGAAGCACCAAUAGAGAGAAGACUGGAAAUGGAUCCACAAAUUUAUUUUAAGUAUGCAUGGAAUGCUUUCAAAUAUUUCUAUGUUAUACUGUUCAUAGCAUGGAUUAUUCUUUUAAAUGGAUUUUCAAAUGUUUUCAAAUGGCUAAACCCACUGAGUAUAUUAGUACUCAGCCCUGCAAUUGUUUUCAAAACCUUUUGCAGGUUGAGCGGCAGGUGGUGUCGUGCGAGGCUGAGGGAGGAUGUUGCUGUAGUUUCAUAUAAUAAUUUCCGCUGCCAUAAUAUUCACUUAGGUGGAUAUCUUUUGAGAAUGACUCUUUAAAUAGUCUUAGCCUAAUUAUUAUGAACUCUUUUGGCAAUCGCAUUUCUAGCAAUUGAACCUCGCAUAUAUGAAUGUCUAGUAUGAAGUGUUAUCUUGUUGUCUCAGACCUCCGAACUUUUGAUCCUGGUUGGGAAGAUUUCUAUCCUAAUUGUUGUAUUUAUUAUCCUUCAAUUGCGGCACUCCUUUAUUAACAAUGUAUUACCCGAAUCUAAGAACAUAUCACCCAUUUUAUUCUAACAAAGUCUAGCAAAUCC